GAGAGAGAGAGAGAGAGAGAGAGAGAGAGAGAGAGGGGGGGGACUGGGAGCAACAUGUUAUAAACAGGCACUUUCCACUCGAGGUAAAAGUAGGAACUAAAACAGGGCCAAUGUGUCAACAGGAUACCCAGGCAGCAGUCUAUCAAAACCCAGGCAGAGAGGAAGAGUAAAGCUGGUGUCGAAAUUGGAGAAGUUGUCCUGGUUUAGUGACCGAGUUUGGCUGAUGAGUACUUCACGUACAUGUACAUGCAUGCUUGACUGCUUGUAAUGGUGGGCAGUUUAAAAUGUCUUUUGAAGUACCCCCCCCCCCCCCUAUUAGCCAUUACAUAACACGAUUAUAAUGUCCAAAAAACUUUAAACCUCAUCGUCCAAAAUCGGAUAUGUUUCCAGACAUCCAGUAAACGGUCUAGUGCAAUCAUUGGGGUUUCUGUCAAAAUCAGAAAGCGGCUCUUUUUCAGAAAAGAUAAGUUUUGGGGCAGAAGUAACAGUUGAGUGUCUGAUGAAUCCGGGAGGAUUUAGCACUGAGCAGUGUAUAUCUCAAUAUCACUGAGCAGGAAUGGGGCCGUAGCCAUAGGAUGAUCAGCCAUAGCAUGAGAGCCAAGUCAGAGAGUGAGUGAACAAGCCAAGCAUAUGUACAUGUACGUCAUGUACAGUAAAACCUGUCAAGGCGACCACUCGGAUAAGGCGACCACUCGGAUAAGGCGACCACUCGGAUAAGGCGACCACCUGUCCUAGAAGACCACUGAAACCAGCACCAAGGAAUGCUAUUUCCAGACAAAUGACCCUGGAUAAGGAGGCCACCUGGUAACAGAGACCAGGUUUUGAAGGUCCCUUGAGCGGUCGUCUAAGACAGGUUUCACUGUACAUUGUGGUGAGAAUAGAGUUAGAAUGCUGCACGGUAUCAAAGAGUACCCGUUUACUGCAGCCAUGCAUCAGUGUGUGAUGGAGACAGUCAUACAGUGACUGACCAAGUCCCAGGGAAAUCUGGAGAGGGGACUAUAGAUUACCGGUGCAAGCAGCAGCUUUCUUCCAGAUGUUGCCCAUUCCGAGGCUGAAGAGACUUUCCCCUAAUUUUCAUUCAGUGAACGGAAAACACGCAUACAUUUUUCCGUGUGUGCGCGCGUGUGUGUGUGUGUGUGUGUGUGUGUGUGUGUGUGUGUGUGUGUGUGUGUGUGUGUGCAGGAAAAGGAAAAUACAGGAAAGUGAGAUGCUCUGUCGCAUCUCGACAUGAUCAGCAAAAGUCACGAGGCUACAGGCCAGUCCAAACUUCCCAAACUGACACCGGCACCACAUGUGCCAAGGAAGGGAGAUGCGGUCUCUGGCCACAAUCCUCAUACAGCGUUCUGUAGUCAUCAAUCCAGACCUGCAUUAUACAUGUACUAUACUCUAUAGAUCAUCAAUCAUUAUCCUGUUAGCUGGAGCAGGACAUAGAAUGCCAGCAGUGCAGUGACUUUGCAAAGUUUAAUUCCCAUGGGCUGGUGCAAUGGCUCCUCAGGUUAUUACAGGCACGAUCAGCAUUAGCAAUCGAUCAAGAGUAACUGCUCCUCCACGAGGGAGACGAGUAUGAGCGGUGCAGCUAGUGGUUUGUGCAAGUGUAGGACAGCUUUGUACAACAGUGACAGGUGGCUGGCACAUGCCAGGGGAAACACUGCUAGUACCACUGACUUGGAUUGGAAAAUUGGCAAUCAAAUUUCAUCAUUACAUCUGCGGGGCACGCAUGGCAGUGAAUAGCCCCGGACCAUCUGGCAUGUAUUUUACAGCCUUUUUAACAAACAGGUAGACUGAGAGUGAGGCAAUGAUGCUCAUAAUAGAAGUCAAGACUUCCUACAGUGUGAUAACCUCAAAAACGUACUGCUA
Molecule: long non-coding RNA, 1857 nt
Organism: Sycon ciliatum
Lineage: Eukaryota; Metazoa; Porifera; Calcarea; Leucosolenida; Sycettidae
Exons: 2
Source: RefSeq, a predicted model, not a curated record